CUCACUCAAGGUCACACACCUAGUUAAUAGGGAGUCUAGCUUCAAACCCACAUCUGACUGAAUCUAAUUCCACCUACAGCUUUGAAGGCUCAGAAAACAUAACUGCUUGAAAAACUGAGUUAACUCUAUGACUGCCAGGACAAAAGCUUAGGAUUUAGAAAUGAAACAAUGAAUAAGUAGACAUUUUGCUCUCAUUUUGUUAUUUUUUACUUUAUUUUCCAAAUAUGUUUAGGUUAAAGAAAAGAACAUGGGAUUUAGAGUCAAAUAGGCAGGUGUUUUGAUUCUACCCUUGCUAACCCUGUGACCUUUGGCUAGGCCUUAGGCCAUUUACGUCUGCUCUACCUGUUCUCCUUCUGGGACCCAGACUUAAGAAGCAGUAUCACUUUUGCAAUGUGUUUUUCUCAUGGUGGAAGGCUAAACCCCAAGUGAAGCGACCAGCAAUAAAUACUCAGGUGACUCUAAUGGAAGCCAAAGCAAUGCCAUAUGACAAAGGCAUUGGAUGUUCAUUCAUUUUCCAAGAAAGGGGUAAAAGGACAGCCUACGUUGUCCAGUGGAGGCAGCCUUCCCAUUCCAACGGACAUUUGUGGGAUAUUAGAGACCAAGAAGUGUUAAGAGAUGAUCUUCACAAAAUGCUGAGCUUGUGUGGGUGUCGAACUACAAACAGGAGGAGAUGGAUAUUCACAUGCAGUGGUGGAGGGUUAUGGCUCUCCAGCCUGGAGGAUUGGAGCUUGAGCCAGGAAAGAAGCUUUCAUUUGCAUCAAUAUGCUAGUCCAUGGAGUACACAGAUUGUUCUACAAACCAUAUGGUGACUAAGCCUCAUUAUUGAAUGCAGUUGACAUGGAAACAACUAGUCAACAUCAAAUAAAUAGAUUAUUUUGUGCAAAUAGCUGCCUCUUUGUGACAAUAAUAAAUACUUUAUUUGUAUCAGGAAAAUGUCUAACAAUAAUUCAAUGACAAUUAACAAUACCUUUAUG
RNAcentral lists this long non-coding RNA (974 nucleotides) under Homo sapiens (human). Its description in RNAcentral is "HSALNT0373734". Lineage: Eukaryota; Metazoa; Chordata; Mammalia; Primates; Hominidae. The record is from RNAcentral.